Molecule: ribosomal RNA, 146 nt
Filed under: Dinophyceae sp.
Lineage: Eukaryota; Dinophyceae
Description: partial small subunit ribosomal RNA
Rfam family: Eukaryotic small subunit ribosomal RNA
Source: RNAcentral
AGUUGGUGGAGUGAUUUGUCUGGUUAAUUCCGUUAACGAACGAGACCUUUACCUGCUAAAUAGUUUGUUGUAUCUUCGGAUAUAACAUCAACUUCUUAGAGGGACUUUGUGUGUUUAACGCAAGGAAGUUAGAGGCAAUAACAGGU